RNAcentral lists this ribosomal RNA (253 nucleotides) under uncultured bacterium. RNAcentral describes it as "partial 16S ribosomal RNA". It matches the Rfam family "Bacterial small subunit ribosomal RNA", at positions 524 to 776 of the family's 1533-position model. The record is from RNAcentral.
GACAGAGGUGCCAAGCGUUAGGCGGAAUCACUGGGCUUAAAGCGUGUGUAGGCGGAUCGUUAAGUACCUUGUGAAAUCCCACGGCUUAACCGUGGAACGGCUCGGUAUACUGGCGGUCUUGAGCAACCUAGGGGCGAGCGGAACAAAUGGUGGAGCGGUGAAAUGCGUAGAUAUCAUUUGGAACGCCGAAGGUGAAAACAGGCUGCUGGGGUUGCGCCGACGCUGAGACACGAAAGCCAGGGGAGCAAACGGG